AUUGAAUGCUGACAGCGUGGAUGAGGCAUGCAAGUCGUACGAAGUAGCAAUACUUAGUGGCGGAAGGGUUAGUAACACAUGGGUAAUCUACCUCUAACAAUGGGAUAACGGUUGGAAACGACCGCUAAUACCACAUGUGGUGAUCAUUAGGCAUCUAGAGAUCAUUAAAGCAGGGGACUCGCAAGAGCCUUGCGGUUGGAGAAGAGCCCAUGCGAUAUCAGCUAGUUGGUGAGGUAAUAGCUCACCAAGGCUAAGACGUCUAGGAGGAUUGAGAGAUCGACCUCCAACACUGGGACUGAGACACUGCCCAGACUCCUACGGGAGGCUGCAGUCGAGAAUCUUUCGCAAUGGGCGAAAGCCUGACGAAGCGACGCUGUGUGAGUGAUGAAGGCCUUCGGGUUGUAAAACUCUUUCGCUUGGGAACAAGAAAGGUCGAUUAAUACUCGGCCGAUUUGAGAGUACUAGGUAAAGAAGCACCGGCUAACUACGUGCCAGCAGCCGCCGUAA
Molecule: ribosomal RNA, 507 nt
Filed under: uncultured bacterium
Lineage: Bacteria
Description: partial 16S ribosomal RNA
Rfam family: Bacterial small subunit ribosomal RNA
Source: RNAcentral